This 497-nucleotide ribosomal RNA is filed under the name uncultured bacterium. RNAcentral's name for it is "partial 16S ribosomal RNA". It matches the Rfam family "Bacterial small subunit ribosomal RNA", at positions 28 to 507 of the family's 1533-position model. The record is from RNAcentral.
GAUGAACGCUGGCGGCGUGCCUAAUACAUGCAAGUCGAGCGAACGGACGAGAAGCUUGCUUCUCUGAUGUUAGCGGCGGACGGGUGAGUAACUCGUGGAUAACCUACCUAUAAGACUGGGAUAACUUCGGGAAACCGUAGCUAAUACCGGAUAAUAUUUUGAACCGCAUGGUUCAAAAGUGAAAGACGGUCUUGCUGUCACUUAUAGAUGGAUCCGCGCUGCAUUAGCUAGUUGGUAAGGUAACGGCUUACCAAGGCAACGAUGCAUAGCCGACCUGAGAGGGGGAUCGGCCACACUGGACCUGAGACACGGUCCAGACUCCUACGGGAGGCAGCAGUAGGGAAUCUUCCGCAAUGGGCGAAAGCCUGACGGAGCAACGCCGCGUGAGUGAUGAAGAUCUUCGGAUCGUAAAACUCUGUUAUUAGGGAAGAACAUAUGUGUAAGUAACUGUGCACAUCUUGACGGUACCUAAUCAGAAAGCCACGGCUAACUACGUG